Molecule: ribosomal RNA, 301 nt
Filed under: uncultured bacterium
Lineage: Bacteria
Description: partial 16S ribosomal RNA
Rfam family: Bacterial small subunit ribosomal RNA
Source: RNAcentral
CAGUCGCCGCGGGAAUACGUAGGGUGCAAGCGUUAAUCGGAAUUACUGGGCGUAAAGCGUGCGCAGGCGGUUAUAUAAGACAGAUGUGAAAUCCCCGGGCUCAACCUGGGAACUGCAUUUGUGACUGUAUAGCUAGAGUACGGCAGAGGGGGAUGGAAUUCCGCGUGUAGCAGUGAAAUGCGUAGAUAUGCGGAGGAACACCGAUGGCGAAGGCAAUCCCCUGGGCCUGUACUGACGCUCAUGCACGAAAGCGUGGGGAGCAUACAGGAUUAGAGACCCCAGUAGUCCCUGUCUCUUAUAC